RNAcentral lists this non-coding RNA (26 nucleotides) under Rattus norvegicus (Norway rat). Lineage: Eukaryota; Metazoa; Chordata; Mammalia; Rodentia; Muridae. The record is from RNAcentral.
ACCACGUUAGUGUCACCCACACAGGA